GUAGCUUGCUACCUGACCUAGCGGCGGACGGGUGAGUAAUGCUUAGGAAUCUGCCUAUUAGUGGGGGACAACAUUCCGAAAGGAAUGCUAAUACCGCAUACGCCCUACGGGGGAAAGCAGGGGAUCUUCGGACCUUGCGCUAAUAGAUGAGCCUAAGUCAGAUUAGCUAGUUGGUGGGGUAAAGGCCUACCAAGGCGACGAUCUGUAGCGGGUCUGAGAGGAUGAUCCGCCACACUGGGACUGAGACACGGCCCAGACUCCUACGGGAGGCAGCAGUGGGGAAUAUUGGACAAUGGGCGCAAGCCUGAUCCAGCCAUGCCGCGUGUGUGAAGAAGGCCUUUUGGUUGUAAAGCACUUUAAGCGAGGAGGAGGCUACUUGGAUUAAUACUCUUGGAUAGUGGACGUUACUCGCAGAAUAAGCACCGGCUAACUCUGUGCCAGCAGCCGCGGUAAUACAGAGGGUGCGAGCGUUAAUCGGAUUUACUGGGCGUAAAGCGUGCGUAGGCGGCUUUUUAAGUCGGAUGUGAAAUCCCUGAGCUUAACUUAGGAAUUGCAUUCGAUACUGGGAAGCUAGAGUAUGGGAGAGGAUGGUAGAAUUCCAGGUGUAGCGGUGAAAUGCGUAGAGAUCUGGAGGA
This 635-nucleotide ribosomal RNA is filed under the name Acinetobacter oryzae. RNAcentral describes it as "bacterial SSU rRNA". It matches the Rfam family "Bacterial small subunit ribosomal RNA", at positions 75 to 705 of the family's 1533-position model. Lineage: Bacteria; Pseudomonadati; Pseudomonadota; Gammaproteobacteria; Moraxellales; Moraxellaceae. The record is from RNAcentral.